RNAcentral lists this ribosomal RNA (490 nucleotides) under uncultured bacterium. Its description in RNAcentral is "partial 16S ribosomal RNA". It matches the Rfam family "Bacterial small subunit ribosomal RNA", at positions 29 to 507 of the family's 1533-position model. The record is from RNAcentral.
AGUGAACGCUGGCGGCAGGCCUAACACAUGCAAGUCGAACGGCAGCACAAGAGAGCUUGCUCUCUGGGUGGCGAGUGGCGGACGGGUGAGGAAUGCAUCGGAAUCUGCCCAUUUGUGGGGGAUAACCUCGGGAAACCGGGACUAAUACCGCAUACGACCUACGGGUGAAAGCAGGGGAUCUUCGGACCUUGCGCAGAUGGAUGAGCCGAUGCCGGAUUAGCUAGUUGGAGGGGUAAAGGCCCACCAAGGCGACGAUCCGUAGCUGGUCUGAGAGGAUGAUCAGCCACACUGGGACUGAGACACGGCCCAGACUCCUACGGGAGGCAGCAGUGGGGAAUAUUGGACAAUGGGCGCAAGCCUGAUCCAGCCAUGCCGCGUGUGUGAAGAGGGCCUUCGGGUUGUAAAGCACUUUUGUUGGGAAAGAAAAGCAGCCGGUUAAUACCCGGUUGUCAUGACGGUACCCAAAGAAUAAGCACCGGCUAACUUCGUG